RNAcentral lists this ribosomal RNA (429 nucleotides) under uncultured bacterium. RNAcentral describes it as "bacterial SSU rRNA". It matches the Rfam family "Bacterial small subunit ribosomal RNA", at positions 355 to 776 of the family's 1533-position model. The record is from RNAcentral.
UGGGGAAUAUUGGACAAUGGGCGCAAGCCUGAUCCAGCAAUGCCGCGUGUGUGAAGAAGGCCUGCGGGUUGUAAAGCACUUUCAGUGGGGAGGAAGGCCUUGAGGUUAAUAACCUCGAGGAUUGACGUUACCCAAAGAAGAAGCACCGGCUAACUCUGUGCCAGCAGCCGCGGUAAUACAGAGGGUGCAAGCGUUAAUCGGAAUUACUGGGCGUAAAGGGUGCGUAGGUGGUUUUUUAAGUCAGAUGUGAAAACCCUGGGCUUAACCUAGGAAUUGCAUUUGAUACUGGGAAACUAGAGUACAGAAGAGGGAAGUGGAAUUUCCGGUGUAGCGGUGAAAUGCGUAGAUAUCGGAAGGAACAUCAGUGGCGAAGGCGACUUCCUGGUCUGUUACUGACACUGAGGCACGAAAGCGUGGGGAGCGAACAGG